Homo sapiens (human) is the source of this 1167-nucleotide long non-coding RNA. Ensembl annotates it as long intergenic non-protein coding RNA 1189. The record is from Ensembl. NCBI's taxonomy places the organism in Eukaryota, Metazoa, Chordata, Mammalia, Primates, Hominidae.
AUGUGCAUGUUGAGGAGGCCUCACGCCAGUUUAGGCUCUCCAGUAUCUCCUGCCGAGCUGCUCUGUUCCCGGCUUAGAGGACCAGGAGAAGGGGGAGCUGGAGGCUGGAGCCUGUAACACCAUGGCUCGUCUCGCUCUGGAUGGUGGUGGCAACAGAGAUGGCAGCGCGGCUGAAGUCUUAGGAGGGCGGCCUGAGCGGUUUUUCUGGCAUUGUCUGCCCAGCUACUCCAAGCCAGGCUGAUGAAGGAGGAGUCCCCUGUGGUGACUGGAGGUUGGAGCCUGAAGAUGGCACAGCUCUGUGAUUCAUCUCCUGCUGUUGUGGCGGCCACGGUGAUGGAGACGGCAGCUCAACAGGAGCGCCCUGUAAGGAGAAUAUACCAUCCCCACUGAACAGAUGAGAAAACUGAGGCUCAGGGGUGUCAGGUGACUGCCUGAGGUCACAGGUGGGACUGGGGCUCCUUGGUCUGUCCUCUUUCUACUGCGAAACAGUCUGGUGAAACUACAGAAGGACCCAUUCCUGCUAAUGAGGCACUAAAGGUUAUGAAAUAGAAUAUUUCCAGUAUCUUAGAAACUCCCAUUGCCCUUCUACAAUGCCACUCACUCCUUCCACAAGAGCACUGAAUGAGAGUUCCUGUUGCUUCACAUCCUCAUCACCAUUUGGUGUUGUCAGAGUUCUGGAUUUUUGCCAUUCUAAUAUGCAUGCAGUAGUAUCUCAUUGCAGUGCUGUGUUUGAGAAUAUUAAUUAGCUCUCAGGACUGCUGUGUCCAGAGUUGAUUCCUUCUGGUGGGUUCGUGGUGUUGCUGACUUGAAGAAUGAAGCCGCCGACCUUCACGAGCGCUGAUUGGUGUGUUUUACAGAGCAUGGAUUGGUGCGUUUUACAGAGCGCUGAUUGGUACAUUUCACAGAACUCGUGAGACAGUCGCAGGUGGCAUGAUUUGAUUUGUGUGAAGGCAAUGAAAUGAUACACAGAUACACCGAAGCCUCCCAAAAGAAUCCUGGUUCCAAGAUUCAAGAAGAUGGAUUAAUGUUUUUCCAUUAAUUGUUGGAAUUUAUGCCAUUUUUUUACUAUGUGCCAUCAAUUUUAAAGCACUUCUGAAAAGAGAUAACAAUCUACAAUAGCUGGCAUUUUAAAUUCAUAAAAAUAUAGUAUUUUCUUCUAUUUUUAUA